CCUACGGGAGGCAGCAGUGAGGAAUAUUGGUCAAUGGGCGGAAGCCUGAACCAGCCAAGUAGCGUGCAGGAUGACGGCCCUAUGGGUUGUAAACUGCUUUUGCAGGGGGAUAAAGUGAGUCACGUGUGACUUAUUGCAGGUACCCUGCGAAUAAGGACCGGCUAAUUCCGUGCCAGCAGCCGCGGUAAUA
This 190-nucleotide ribosomal RNA is filed under the name uncultured rumen bacterium. Its description in RNAcentral is "partial 16S ribosomal RNA". It matches the Rfam family "Bacterial small subunit ribosomal RNA", at positions 338 to 525 of the family's 1533-position model. The record is from RNAcentral.